RNAcentral lists this long non-coding RNA (249 nucleotides) under Lynx canadensis (Canada lynx). Its description in RNAcentral is "lncRNA (ENSLCNG00005002823.1)". Lineage: Eukaryota; Metazoa; Chordata; Mammalia; Carnivora; Felidae. The record is from RNAcentral.
ACCACUCCGUCCCGCCCCUGUUGGAACGCGGAGCUGCCGAGCGGGCUGUCGGCCAUUUUGUGAAGCGGCGAAAGAGGUGGUGGCUGCUGUGGGCUCCGGGAAGCCGUUCGGGCUGGGGCUGUCGGCCGCGGGGCGGAGGCACUCGCGCGGGGGGUAACUCGGGUCUGGGUUCGGGUGCCGCGCAGCUCUCCCCGGAUUGACUUGGCCUCUACUUCUUGUUAAGAAAAUACAUCUCUUGUUUUAUCAGGU